ACUCAACGCCGGGCAGCUCACCGGAUAGGACAGCGGAAUGAUAGCCGGGCUGAAGACCUUGCUUGACCAGCUGAGAGGAGGUGCAUGGCCGUCGUCAGUUCGUACUGUGAAGCAUCCUGUUUAGUCAGGCAACGAGCGAGACCCACGCCAACAGUUGCUAGCAUGUUCUCCGGAAUGAUGAGGACACUGUUGGGACCGCCUCUGCUAAAGAGGAGGAAGGAAUGGGCAACGGUAGGUCAGCAUGCCCCGAAUUAUCCGGGCUACACGCGGGCUACAAUGGUCAGGACAAUGGGAAACGGCACUGAAAAGUGUAGUCAAUCUCCUAAACCUGUCCCAAGUUCGGAUUGUGGGCUGCAACUCGCCCACAUGAAGCUGGAAUCCGUAGUAAUCGCGUUUCAAAAUAGCGCGGUGAAUAAGUCCCUGCUCCUUGCACACACCGCCCGUCAAACCAUCUUAGUGAGGUUUGGAUGAGGCUGUGGUUAACUGCCACAGUCGAAUCUAGGUUUCGCAAGGAGGGUUAAGUCGUAACAAGGUAGCCGUA
This 541-nucleotide ribosomal RNA is filed under the name uncultured archaeon. RNAcentral describes it as "bacterial SSU rRNA". It matches the Rfam family "Archaeal small subunit ribosomal RNA", at positions 910 to 1451 of the family's 1478-position model. The record is from RNAcentral.